This 6013-nucleotide long non-coding RNA is filed under the name Gallus gallus (chicken). Lineage: Eukaryota; Metazoa; Chordata; Aves; Galliformes; Phasianidae. The record is from RNAcentral.
UGUCUGCAGUCCCCACGCUCUCCAAAAUCAAUCUCGGAGAGCAAGGCAGUGUUUUGCUGAGAUUAAGCAGAUUUGCAAAUUAGGAAGAUUAAAUGGAAAUGUAAUGAAAUGAAAAUUAAAUGUCCUUCUAUUUUUUUAUUAUUAUUUUUUAUUUUUAUUAUUUUUUUGAGAGAGACAGAGACAGAGACAGAGAGGAAGGAAGGAAAAAAAAAGGAAAAAUCGCCCUUUCCUGGGAGGUGUCUUUUGAGUGAUCCCCCAAAACGCCUUUCCCGGAGCAGCUCCCUGUCAAACUACACGCGCUCCCGUCCGGAGGGACUGAAAAGUGAUUCAAACUCUCCGGGAAGCACAGACAUUUUUAAUUCCAUCUGAUGCAGCAGCUCGGAAAGCAGCGAGAUCAGCCACCGGGGCUGCAAAGGAGGCUCUCUGCCUCCUCAAAUCCCCCAAAAGCAGAGCGGUUUUACUCAUCAAGGAAACAGCCGAGAAAAAGAAGGAUCGGAGGCACUCACCAGAGCGUAGACCGAGCUCAGCACGGAGCAGCAGAGGAUCAAACCCAGGCUGUGAUAAACCAGAUAUGAUCCCAUAUCCAAGGGGCUCCUUCCAGCAUCCACGCUCUCUCGGGGAAGUUGGAGGACGGAGAGGUCUUCCAGCGCUCCGCUUGCAGAUGAUUUCUCCUUCCCUCCCUCCAACCUCCCCCCCCCUCCACCUCACUCUCCAGAACCGGUGUUUGUUUGUUUGUCUGUUUGUUUGUUUGUUUGUUUUAGCCGGAAAGGCACAUGACGAGAAAGCCCGGUCCUUUGCUUCGCUUUCUCAUGGCUGGAGAUGCGGGCAGCUCCCGAAAGGCAGCGGAGGAGCCCAUGCGAAGAAGCGGAGCGACUUCGGCUUCGCUCAGCGCCGCAGCCCCCGGUGCUGGUUGUUUUCCGCGUGCAUCUGUCUCAGAGCAGAAAAAUCACAUCCAUAUGUCAAAGCCGCGCUCUUCUGUUUCCUUUUUAUGAGGCAGUGGGAAGUUCAAAUAAUUUCUUUGUCAAACGCAAACACACAGAAAGAGGCAGAGAGGGAGGGAGGGAGGGAGAAAGGCGAGAGAGGGGUGGAAGGGGUGGGAGAUCGGAGAGGGUGGGGGAGGCUUUAAACCACGGCUUUAUUUUUAGAUCCAGUAAUUUUAUCUUUUGGGUUUCGGAGGGGUUUGGAAAGAAAGAGAGAGAGGGAAAAAAAAAAAAAAAAGCCUUUUUUUUUCUUUUAAUUCUUUUUCUCCACUUUCGCCACACGAACGGCUCUCAGAGCAGAAAGUUACGGGGAAAAAAAAUAGCGAAAACUUGGAGAUAUUUUCCCUCCUCAUUUACUUUUUCUUCGCAAACAGCGGUGCUUUUGGGGGGGACCUUUUCCUCCUUUUUUUUUUUUUUUUUUUCCUUGCUGGUGUAUCGCCGCGCGUUUCGCCUCCACAAUAGGUUUAUUCUCCAGCCCUCCGGGUCGAAGUGUGUUUCAGUUACAAAUCGGGAUUUUUUCGCUCCUCUCUCCCCUCUCUGCCUCAGAGGAUCUGCAGUUUCAAAAAGCCGAUUGAACACGGCGUGAAAGCGUGAGGCUGACGACUCCCCCGCCUCCUACCGCCACUCUCUCUAGUCCUCGUUCCGUGCCCCGCAAGGAGGAGCCCCCCGCGGAACCCCUGGCGCAUCGCAUCCCCGCUUUCCCCCCCUCAUGUCCCCAGCACCUCGCACCCCUCGUGGAUGUCACCAGCAUCGCAGUUUCAAGGCUGGGGAUGGUGCUCCCAGCUCAGCCGGGCGCUUUCAUUCAUAAAAUGGCAAGAUUGUAUCCAUGAAUGUGUGUAUAAUGAACCCAGAAGGAAUGCAGCACUAAAAGAAGCCUUUGUAAUGUUGCUAUUUUAAGGAGACCCUUGGGUAUGGCACGUGUUGAACUGAGUUUCUCCAACAUCUUACAACAAACCAAAAUGUUUAGAUCCUCCUACUGAUGUAAGACAGCAUAAAAAAAAUACAUAAUCAAUCUAAACUGGCUAAGGUUUUGACCAGGAAUUAUUGCUCCUGUGAAUUGGCUCUGUAUUGUAGCUAACUUUUACACAGCCUAAUAAUAAACAUCUCCUCCUCCCAGCUGGGUGAAUGUUUCCCCUCUGCUGGAGAUCAGGUCCCAGUCUGGAUAAAACACCUCUUGUCCUUUCUCUCCUCGGUCACUCAGGUUCAGUGAAACAUCAUGACUUACAUCAGCCAAAGCCUUUGAUCAGGGAGGGAAAGGUCUGACAUGGAUGGGGUUGGCAGCCACGCUGCAAGAAUCCCUCAUUGUGCAAGAAGCCAGUCCAAUGACCGACUGUCACCAAGGGUGAGACAGCCUUUUCUGCUCUGUUUGCUCUGUUUUCACUUGGCUAUUGCUGGCGUUUUGUUUGCAAAAUCAAGGCCAAAAUAUACAAGAAGCAGCUUCGAACAUGUUGGGUUUGUGCAUUAAGCCAGAUAGCCAUCAUGAAUUUCUGGCCAUUUUUGUUGUAUGUGUUGUAAAGAGCAGAAUUUUGCUGUCAGCAUUUUGUUUUCACAUGGUCAGAGAGGAGAAGGAGUAUAAUAGAGGUCCAAUUGACACUGUUUACACAAAGAUGAAGUCGUAACUCUUGGCUGAGAUGACUGUGGAAGUGGUGUGUGAUGGCUUCUUUGUUGGCUCUUUAAGAAAACAUCUGCUCUGGAUCUCGUGGACAAAAUCUAGGGUGAAAAAUUCUCUCAUUGCAAAAUGAGAAGCCGGAUGAAAAGCCCAGAGAAGCUGUGGGUGCUCCAUCUCUGGAGGUGCUCAAGGCCAGGUUGGAUGGGGCCCUGGGCUGCCUGAUCUGGAAGGUGGUAAUCCUGCCCAUGGCCCCGGGUUGGGGCUGGAUGACCUUUGAGGAUGUUUCCAGCCUAGGCCGUUCUAUGAUUCUAUGAGUUUCUCCAAUAGCAUCCAGCACUCAAGGAACAGGGCUGCUUUGGAAAUGUAUGUCAGAAUAAGAAAAAUACAUUUUUUGUACUCACACAUUGAACAGCGAAUGAAUGCUCAAGAAGAAUGAGGGUGAGAAUUGAAUCCAUUAAAACACUUUCUGGGACAAUAUUUUUGCUUUCAGCAGCUUUCUCUUCUGCUUUGCUUCAAUUCCUUCUAAACUCUGCUCCCCUUCCUCCAGGUGGUAUGAAAUAAAAAACAGUAAUAAAUAGAUUUUUCUAUAUAGGAAAAAAAUCAAAAACAAAUAAAAAUAUAUUUUUAAAAAUUUAGAUUUCUCUGUAAAGACUCUUCAUUAAGUACACAGAAAUGCUUGUGAUAUGUGGCCAUAGAUGGGCUGUACGCCUCUUCUAAUGCCCUGCAGUAUGGUUUACAAGGUGACUCAGUAACUGGGGCGAAGUCAUCGUGGUGGGUUUGGGUGCCCUACAUGAGAAGACGCAGAAAAUGUGUCAGAAAAAGGAUCACAGACCUGAAAAUGGUUUGGGAGAAGAGAGAGAUGAGGCGUGUGGAGUUGAGGUCUUGGGUUAAGGCAACAAAGGAGUGUUGGAGGUGACAGAUGAACCCAAAGGCAUUUUGCAUCUUAAGCAGGCCAGAUGGGUUAGCAAAGUCACCAGUAGAACACAAUUGUCAGUGGCUCCAUACAGUGACCUUUAGCUGAAACAAAGCUAUACAAAAGGAGCUCAGGGCAUGCAAGUAGGUGAAGGAAAAUCCUCAUCAGCAAUAGGCUUGGCAUCCAUUUGGUUGUGUUUUCAUGCAGACAAGGUGGGGCAGACAGGCUCUACACAGCAACACGUGCUCUUGCCUUAUCCCAUCUCUGUUGUUCUCCUUGCUGUAGGCUGAUGCUUUGGACCCAGAAAGACACAAGUGGGAUGGAGAUCAGAGCCCUGGGCUUUUCCCCGCAGACCAGCAACUGGUGCCAUUUCUGGCUGAUUCUCUACUUUUCUCUUCCUAAACCAAAGGCAAACUCCAUUUGGGAGGUGAGCAAGGAAAACCCCUCCAAAACAGCCAGGAGCUGAAAAGAUUUGGCAAGCUUUGCAGGAGAAAACUGCCAGCAGGGAAAGACGAGGUGGAGGCAUUACUCUGACAGAAGAAGCUCUGAUUAGCAGAUUAUCACUUAAGUGAUGUUGAUCCCAGCCACGCUGCCUUCCAAAUGAGCCCUUUCACAGCUGCCAGCUGCACCACGGAGUCGUGAAUGUAAAUGAGUGGGCCAGAUCCUCUGCUGGCAUCCAUCGACGUGGCUUUGAUGGACCAUCCUGGAUCUACAACAGCCGGAGGAGUGUGGCUGUCGUGGGAGCCUGACUUGCUAUGCAGAUUUCUUUGAGAGCCUGUGGGAAAGGGCCUGAAGCUGGAUGUACUGCAGGAUAGGGCAGCAUCAACUGCACAGCUGGAGGGACCCUUGAGACUUUGACUUUUGCUGCCAAACAAAGCCAUCUUUUUGCUGAGCUUGUAAACUGUUCCCUGGUACCGUACGCCAGCAUAUAGCAUCCUGCCCUCAUAAAGCUCUACUUAUCUCCAUCCAACUUCUUGGGCUGAGCGUGUGGGAAGCAUGUGAGGGACACUCAUGAGCAGCCUUGCAUUCUCCGAGCUGUGCUUUCCCCUGGGGAAGGCAUACUUGACCUCUGGCCACGUCCAUCCAAUCUGACAGACUGGUCUUCGGAGAAUGGUGACCAAGAAUAAGCUCCAUGUCCCACAUGCCACCUGUUCAUCUGCACCGCUCCCUCUCCAGCAGCUCAUGGGCCAUGCCCAGCCUAUGUGUGACACCUCUCUGGCUGCUCAGAUGGAAAGUAAGAGCUUGGAGAGUGAGGACAGCAUGGAGUUAUGGAAGACAUGGCUACAAGAGCAUUCUUUCUCCAUCUCCAUGUGCUUCUGAAGGACCAGUCUGAUUCUGGCUCCUGCCAAGUUAGGAUAUGCUAUGAUUCUGUGAACACUUUUUGCAGCAAGUCAGCCAUAAGAAACAACAUACUCUCAGACAAUCAAGCCUCCAAAUUAAGGUGGGGAGACUUGUUGUGAAGGAGAUGGUUUUUUUUUUCCUACUGUAGAAGGGAUGUUCAAUGCUAUAGUGACAAGGAACAAUUCUUCAGCCUUAGACAGCAGAAAGAAGAAACAUAAAGAGACUGUACAGUUCUUGGGACACCGAGACAACUAUCUACGUGCUUUGUGGAAGCAGAGACAAGUAUGAGAUUUGGCUUUCUGGGCUAUGAGGGCACACAGCUGGCUCACAUCCAGCUCCCAUCCACCAUUUAGAUAAGAUACUAUUGCUUUUAAUAAAGACAAGUCAAAGAUCUUCUCCUAAGUGCUCUUAAAGAACUCCAGCAUUGUGUCUACAAUAAUCCAUCCGCCUUAAAGGAUCCAGCAGUACAUCACCACCAGUGGAUAUAAGAAGUAAUUAGUCAUCAUUUAGGGAAGUAAGAUUUAACAGUUAUUUUGUUGGCAGAAGUGCCGUGAUAAAAAUGGUACUCUGAAAGUUAUUUGGUAUUUCUCAUUGUUGCCAGAGUUCUGAACAUUUUGAUAGGAUGAACAUAGACUUCGGUAGGAAAGUUGUGGAUUUUUUCCCCUCCAUUUAGUAGAAAUAUAAAUGUUACAAAAUAAAUAAUGAUAGAAUAUAUGUGUAUAUAUUUUCAAUGCAUAUUUUAAAAUGCAUAUGAAAUGCAUUUUUUAAAAUAUUUUGUUCAAAUAUUUUUACUAAUGUUGUAUACCUUGCAUCUGUGAAGAGGGUUAUCCCUUAAACAUCCUUUCUUCAGACAGUACUGGGAUUCAUCCUCAGGCCCCGUUAUCUUGCUCUACGUUUCCUAGAGUCCAUCUAUAUAAUAAAUCAGAAUACUGCAUGGUUACACAUCGUAAUUAUUUUUUAAAAUUAUUUUUUAUUUUUUUGCUGAUUGGGGAAAUGGUGAAAACUGGUUUUUGCAUAUUUCAACAAUGUUACUCAGCCAAGUAAAAGAACAAGGGAGCAGAAUGGAAGAGAAAUGAAGAAAUGGAAGGAAGGAAGGAAGGAAGGAAGGAAGGAAGGAAGGAAGGAAGGAAGGAAGGAAGGAGGGAAGGAGGGAAGGAGGGAAGGAAGGAA